RNAcentral lists this ribosomal RNA (664 nucleotides) under uncultured Vibrionaceae bacterium. Its description in RNAcentral is "bacterial SSU rRNA". It matches the Rfam family "Bacterial small subunit ribosomal RNA", at positions 28 to 671 of the family's 1533-position model. Lineage: Bacteria; Pseudomonadati; Pseudomonadota; Gammaproteobacteria; Vibrionales; Vibrionaceae. The record is from RNAcentral.
AUUGAACGCUGGCGGCAGGCCUAACACAUGCAAGUCGAGCGGAAACGACACUAACAAUCCUUCGGGUGCGUUAAUGGGCGUCGAGCGGCGGACGGGUGAGUAAUGCCUAGGAAAUUGCCUUGAUGUGGGGGAUAACCAUUGGAAACGAUGGCUAAUACCGCAUAAUGCCUACGGGCCAAAGAGGGGGACCUUCGAGCCUCUCGCGUCAAGAUAUGCCUAGGUGGGAUUAGCUAGUUGGUGAGGUAAUGGCUCACCAAGGCGACGAUCCCUAGCUGGUCUGAGAGGAUGAUCAGCCACACUGGAACUGAGACACGGUCCAGACUCCUACGGGAGGCAGCAGUGGGGAAUAUUGCACAAUGGGCGAAAGCCUGAUGCAGCCAUGCCGCGUGUAUGAAGAAGGCCUUCGGGUUGUAAAGUACUUUCAGUUGUGAGGAAGGGUGUGUAGUUAAUAGCUGCGCAUCUUGACGUUAGCAACAGAAGAAGCACCGGCUAACUCCGUGCCAGCAGCCGCGGUAAUACGGAGGGUGCGAGCGUUAAUCGGAAUUACUGGGCGUAAAGCGCAUGCAGGUGGUUCAUUAAGUCAGAUGUGAAAGCCCGGGGCUCAACCUCGGAACUGCAUUUGAAACUGGUGAACUAGAGCGCUGUAGAGGGGGGUAGAAUUUCA